Molecule: ribosomal RNA, 182 nt
Filed under: Salmonella enterica
Lineage: Bacteria; Pseudomonadati; Pseudomonadota; Gammaproteobacteria; Enterobacterales; Enterobacteriaceae
Also listed under: 2 other names
Description: partial 16S ribosomal RNA
Rfam family: Bacterial small subunit ribosomal RNA
Source: RNAcentral
AAAUUGAAGAGUUUGAUCAUGGCUCAGAUUGAACGCUGGCGGCAGGCCUAACACAUGCAAGUCGAACGGUAACAGGAAGCAGCUUGCUGCUUCGCUGACAAGUGGCGGACGGGUGAGUAAUGUCUGGGAAACUGCCUGAUGGAGGGGGAUAACUACUGGAAACGGUGGCUAAUACCGCAUGA